GUGGCCGUGUUCUAACGGAAAGAUGUGGGUCUCCAAAACCUUACGAUGAGGGUUCGAAUCCUUCCGGUUAUG
RNAcentral lists this transfer RNA (72 nucleotides) under Vibrio phage 1.076.O._10N.286.51.B7. RNAcentral describes it as "tRNA-Trp". It matches the Rfam family "tRNA". From Rfam's summary of the family: Transfer RNA (tRNA) molecules are approximately 80 nucleotides in length. Their secondary structure includes four short double-helical elements and three loops (D, anti-codon, and T loops). The record is from RNAcentral. Lineage: Duplodnaviria; Heunggongvirae; Uroviricota; Caudoviricetes.